This is a small nucleolar RNA of Pongo abelii (Sumatran orangutan), 79 nucleotides long. Lineage: Eukaryota; Metazoa; Chordata; Mammalia; Primates; Hominidae. The record is from Ensembl.
GCUGUACAUGAUGACAACUGGCUCCCUCUACUGAACCCAUGCCAUGAGGAAACUGCCAUGUCACCCUUCUGACUACAGC